GAUAGCGUAGCUCAGCCGGUAGAGCAACGGCCUUUUAAGCCGUGGGUCCUGGGUUCGAAUCCCAGCGCUGUCA
This 73-nucleotide transfer RNA is filed under the name Bacteroidota bacterium. RNAcentral's name for it is "tRNA-Lys". It matches the Rfam family "tRNA". From Rfam's summary of the family: Transfer RNA (tRNA) molecules are approximately 80 nucleotides in length. Their secondary structure includes four short double-helical elements and three loops (D, anti-codon, and T loops). Further hydrogen bonds mediate the characteristic L-shaped molecular structure. tRNAs have two regions of fundamental functional importance: the anti-codon, which is responsible for specific mRNA codon recognition, and the 3' end, to which the tRNAs corresponding amino acid is attached (by aminoacyl-tRNA synthetases). tRNAs cope with the degeneracy of the genetic code in two manners: having more than one tRNA (with a specific anti-codon) for a particular amino acid; and 'wobble' base-pairing, i.e. permitting non-standard base-pairing at the 3rd anti-codon position. RNAcentral also lists the same sequence under 5 other names. Lineage: Bacteria; Pseudomonadati; Bacteroidota. The record is from RNAcentral.